GGUCUCCUCCCAAAGCGUAACGGAGGAGUACGAAGGUACGCUAGGUACGGUCGGAAAUCGUGCUGAUAGUGCAAUGGCAUAAGCGUGCUUAACUGCGAGACCGACAAGUCGAGCAGGUGCGAAAGCAGGUCAUAGUGAUCCGGUGGUUCUGUAUGGAAGGGCCAUCGCUCAACGGAUAAAAGGUACUCUGGGGAUAACAGGCUGAUACCGCCCAAGAGUUCAUAUCGACGGCGGUGUUUGGCACCUCGAUGUCGGCUCAUCUCAUCCUGGGGCUGUAGCCGGUCCCAAGGGUAUGGCUGUUCGCCAUUUAAAGAGGUACGUGAGCUGGGUUUAAAACGUCGUGAGACAGUUUGGUCCCUAUCUGCCGUGGGCGUUGGAUAUUUGAAGGGGGCUGCUCCUAGUACGAGAGGACCGGAGUGGACGAACCUCUGGUGUACCGGUUGUGACGCCAGUCGCAUCGCCGGGUAGCUAUGUUCGGAAGAGAUAACCGCUGAAAGCAUCUAAGCGGGAAACUCGCCUUAAGAUGAGAUAUCCCUGGAGGCUUGACCUCCUUGAAGGGUCGUUCGAGACCAGGACGUUGAUAGGUCGGGUGUGUAAGCGCAGUAAUGCGUUCAGCUAACCGAUACUAAUUGCCCGUAAGGCUUGAUCCUAUAACA
Molecule: ribosomal RNA, 656 nt
Filed under: Burkholderia ubonensis
Lineage: Bacteria; Pseudomonadati; Pseudomonadota; Betaproteobacteria; Burkholderiales; Burkholderiaceae
Description: bacterial LSU rRNA
Rfam family: Bacterial large subunit ribosomal RNA
Source: RNAcentral